UACGGGGGGGGCUAGCGUUGUUCGGAAUUACUGGGCGUAAAGGGCGCGUAGGCGGCCUACUAAGUCGGACGUGAAAUCCCUCGGCUCAACCGGGGAACUGCGUCCGAUACUGGUGGGCUCGAAUCCGGGAGAGGGAUGUGGAAUUCCAGGUGUAGCGGUGAAAUGCGUAGAUAUCGUAAGGAAGACCAGUGGCGAAGGCGAGUCUCUGGACAGCAACUGACGCUGAGGCACGAAGGCCAGGGGAGCAAACGGG
Molecule: ribosomal RNA, 253 nt
Filed under: uncultured bacterium
Lineage: Bacteria
Description: partial 16S ribosomal RNA
Rfam family: Bacterial small subunit ribosomal RNA
Source: RNAcentral